Non-coding RNA from Schistosoma mansoni, 45 nucleotides. Lineage: Eukaryota; Metazoa; Platyhelminthes; Trematoda; Strigeidida; Schistosomatidae. The record is from Rfam.
AUCCAACUGACGAGUCCCAGAUAAGAGGAAACGCACAUCCUGUAU